Molecule: ribosomal RNA, 377 nt
Filed under: uncultured bacterium
Lineage: Bacteria
Description: bacterial SSU rRNA
Rfam family: Bacterial small subunit ribosomal RNA
Source: RNAcentral
UAAUACGGAGGGCGCAAGCGUUGUUCGGAAUCACUGGGCGUAAAGCGCGUGUAGGCGGUUCGACAAGUCGGCUGUGAAAGCCCGAGGCUCAACCUCGGAACUGCAGCCGAAACUGCCGGGCUCGAGUCCCGGAGAGGGUGGCGGAAUUUCCGGUGUAGAGGUGAAAUUCGUAGAUAUCGGAAGGAACACCAGAGGCGAAGGCGGCCACCUGGACGGUGACUGACGCUGAGACGCGAAAGCGUGGGGAGCAAACAGGAUUAGAUACCCUGGUAGUCCACGCCGUAAACGUUGGGUGCUAGGCGUCGGCGGUAUUGACCCCGCCGGUGCCGAAGUUAACGCAUUAAGCACCCCGCCUGGGGAGUACGGCCGCAAGGCUA